This 253-nucleotide ribosomal RNA is filed under the name uncultured bacterium. RNAcentral describes it as "partial 16S ribosomal RNA". It matches the Rfam family "Bacterial small subunit ribosomal RNA", at positions 524 to 776 of the family's 1533-position model. The record is from RNAcentral.
UACGUAGGGGGCUAGCGUUGUCCGGAUUUAUUGGGCGUAAAGAGCGUGUAGGCGGCCAGAUAGGUCAGCUGUGAAAACUCGAGGCUCAACCUCGAGACGCCGGUUGAAACCAUCUGGCUAGAGUCCGGAAGAGGAGAGUGGAAUUCCUGGUGUAGUGGUGAAAUGCGCAGAUAUCAGGAAGAACACCCGUGGCUAAGUCGGCUCUCUAGUACGGUACUGACGCUGAGACGCGAAAGCGUGGGGAGCGAACAGG